CCAGAGCCGCAGCCGCCGCGCAGGCAGGGCCGGGCCGGGCCGGGUGCGCGGGCACAAAGGGGCCGCUGCACAUGGCAGGCAGGCGAGCAGAUGCCAGCAGACAGCUUUUGUCGUCCAGUCUCCCAGUCAUCCGCCUGACCUGCUCCUGUCUGAACAUCCUACCGCGAGUCAAGGCAAAUGGGCUCAGCCGCUGUUCCACUCCACCCAGGCUUGGAGUGGACUCCCCGUGAGCCUGCAGAGGGGCAGGAUGCUGAGUAGCAGGCCAUGCGGGUGCGCCCGGGGUCUCACCCCAGCCCCAGGGAAGAGGCUGUUUCAUUCAGUGAACCAAGAGGUGAUGAAGGGGAGAGCUCAAGCGGCCUCCUGUUCCCUUGGGAACUUGAGGGGGUGUCGGGAUGUGUUCCCUUUCUGCACUCAGCUGGGAAAGAGCUGGUGGAGAAUUUUCCCUUCUGAGCAGAGAGAGAAUUCUCUUCACCUCCCCCGCCCCGCCCCCGCCCACUCCCACAGCCACCAGUUCUCUGGGCAACCCUAGUUAGCAGUUUGGGCCUUUCUUUCUGCACACAAUUGACCUGGAGGGCCUGAGUCUGGUCCAUUCAGAGGCCACAUGGAACACUCUGUUUUUGUCACUGCCCUCUCAUCUUCUAGAAGCAUAACCUUAUCCAACAGAAAGAGGCAAAAGCGAUUGGGCCCGACCUCUCCCAGUGACAGUGUUUGCACUUCAUUCCAUGGCACAGCGUCUUCUGUAACUUUAAGAUUUAACAUUUCAGAUUAUUUUCCACUGGGGCUCCCAUCGAUGCUGAGUUCUGGCUACUUUUUUCCCCUGAUGCUGAAAGGUUCGAUUCUUCCAUCUAUCCAUCAACAAAUCACAUUGAAUGACGGUGCUCAGUGACCCAGGAUGCCACUGGAGACAAAACACACUAUACAUAUUUUCUGGUCUCCCUGGAAAAUUAGUGCAAACACUUUCAUCACUGCGGAGAAGGGAAAUAUGCGCGGAGCUGUGAAAAUCUGCUUUGUUUUUUGUUUUUCUAAGAGGAGAUUUCCCCCUCCUUCAAACAGUGAAAUUUAUAUUGUUCUUUGUCUGCAAAUUAACCAGUUAAGUAGAAUUCCUGUAUGUCUCUUUCACUUUCUGCAAGCCAAGGCCCCUCUUUCUCUCCACCCUGUAUUCAUACAUAGUCCAGGAUCACCCCCUGUCCCCCUCCAAUGCUGCUUGAAAUUUCAUUCCAUUUUCGUCCUGACUUGUUCAAAGUAACAUUUAAAAUAUUUUAAUUCAAAUUCUUAUCUCAUCCAUCCUGUUUAAGUUCCAUUUUAAAGAAUCUUCUUUUCUUA
RNAcentral lists this long non-coding RNA (1323 nucleotides) under Homo sapiens (human). RNAcentral describes it as "HSALNT0353803". The record is from RNAcentral. Lineage: Eukaryota; Metazoa; Chordata; Mammalia; Primates; Hominidae.